UUAACUAAAGCCAAAGCGAGGCCCCCCAUUGUUAAUGGGAAAAUUGAUUAACUUAAAUCUAGUUAAA
RNAcentral lists this transfer RNA (67 nucleotides) under Gonopsimorpha nigrosignata. RNAcentral describes it as "tRNA-Asn". Lineage: Eukaryota; Metazoa; Arthropoda; Insecta; Hemiptera; Pentatomidae. The record is from RNAcentral.